CGGACUGGGCAACUUUUCUGCCCAGUCCGCGGACUGGGCAAUUACGCCAACGGGGUGUAACAUCUACAUGAAAAUGCCCAUUGAAAAAAUGUCUAUAGUAAAUAUGUCUGCGGUAUUAAAAUGCCUACGGUUUGACUGCCUACUCCAAAAAUGUCAAAGUACGUAUAUUUAUGUCGUCCAAUAAGAAUCUCAUUUGGACUGUCGAAUGUUUGAACAGUUAUUGAAUCAAAAUUGUGCGCUACGGCAGAAUUUUAUUUUAUAUAUAUAUUCAAUGUAUUUUAAGUGGCCAACAUAAAUAUUUUGACAUUUUCUAAGUGGGAAAACAAACCGUAGACAUUUAAUAUCGUAGACAUAUUUGACUGUAGACAUAAUUUUAGUAGGCAUUUUAAUGUAGACGUGCUGACUUUGAUCUAAAAAAGGUAGCCCAUUUUUUUGUAGCCCUUUUUUCUGUAGACGUACUGUCUGCAUACCAUGACCUCAAUCUCAAAUAUCCGGAUAAUUUAUGCCAACAUUUUUAUGCCUGAGUAUUGUGCGAAUUUCUAAGGAUUGUGAAUUUUGUAAAGAGAACUAUUGAUAAGAUAGGUAUUUAAUUUUUUCAGUUAUUGCUUUAUCCUCAAUGCAAGUCUUAGGUCCCACUGAACAGAAGGAGUACGAGCAUCGGAAUGUUGACCUUCCAUUCAAACCUUCUUUCAUAUCUGUGAACGCUGACGAAUCCCUCCUAGUUGUGGUUGUAGAUGCAACUGUUGGCGCCCUAGCUACUAUUUACGAUUUGCCGUCUCUUACAACACAGAAUGUUGUGAUAAAGUACCAGCUACGCUUGACUGAGACUCCUGAUGUUGUCGUGCGGGAUCUUCAUUGGAAUCCAUCUAUUUCCAGUCUGAUUUCCUUUGUCAAUUCUGAUGGUUCUGUGAGCCUCUUUGAGCUCAAAGGCUGUUCUUUCGGUUUCACAUCCUUGCCACCAACAACUCUUGCAACGUAGGUUCCUCUCUAUGUUUGAUUCUUGUUCUGCGCGGUGAACUAUUAUUAUGAGCGCACGAAUUGUACUUCAGCCCAUUUCAUGAGUCGAAAUUUGGGGUUUU
This 1079-nucleotide long non-coding RNA is filed under the name Bemisia tabaci. RNAcentral's name for it is "lncRNA ENSSSA1NGG011629". Lineage: Eukaryota; Metazoa; Arthropoda; Insecta; Hemiptera; Aleyrodidae. The record is from RNAcentral.